GAAAAUUUACCAUUACUAUCUUAAAUCUUUGUGGGUUAGUUUCUGAUUAUCCAACAUCCCAUGAUUAUGCUAUUAGUCAAAUACUGAAAUUUUUGUUGGUUUCCCAAUAUAAAUUUUGCUUAGGAAGGAACAUCAUGGAGGCCGCUUGCCGCAUAAGAGGCUGGAGCGGCAAGUUUGGUGUGGCUGCUCCUCCAUGCAAAGGCUGAGGUCCAACACUGACCGCAGGCAAGCCCCAUGGCAUUCACCGCUUCUCUACGUGUUGCUGGAGGAUGGCUCACAACAUGCGAAGCAUUUAGCUUAGAUUUGCUUAAAGGCGGCUCCCCACAUAAUGUCGACUUUGGCCUGCAGUCGAGAGAUGCACAGUGCAAAUUUUUAUUUGUUUUGCAGGUUCAUCCAUAAGGUUAUCAUUUUGUAUGGUGAGCCUCAAAGUGAUUAUCACCAUAUAGUUGUGAGCAUGAUAUAUUGGGGCAUCAAGAUCAAGCUCCAUGGAGGUGGACACAGCUUACUGGUUUCGGUUCAGAUAGAAGGGCAAACUUGGGAGAAUCAAUAUGGUGUACAUGAAGAGAUAUGAGCAGAUUGUUUGUCUGGAGAAUUGAGUUAGGAUAUUCUGCACGUACUAUCGAGUUCCGACCAAGGGUUGUAUUUUCUACUGGGGAUGAGUUGGUUCGGCCAGCCACUCCAAACUCUAAAUCAUGGUGAUUGACGAGGUCACCAAGCCAAGAAGAGGUGCUGCGAUUCGCUACAGGAGGGCACGGUGGGGUAAGUUUGGCGCUGCGACCAUGGUGGCUGCAGUGGUCAAUGCCAAGGCGUCUCACCACAUCCUUGCACUAUGCGCCAUGAGGGGGCUCUCAAGAUGAAGAGACAGGAGGAGCGCCGGCUCAGGGAAGCUGCAUAUUUUUUUCAUGGAUGCCUUUACACAUUCUAUGUUUGGUUGGUAUAAUAGCAGACUUUUCUUAAGGAAGUAAAGGAUUUAAAGUAACUUUGUUUCUCCAAAAAAAAAUCUCCAUAGAUUAAAUGGUGGCUUUAUUAUUUGGAAGGAUGUAUGUUAUUAGUUAUUGUUUAGUUUCAGCCUCAUUGUGGAGGAAGAGGUCGCGUCAAUGUGGAGACUAGGCGAACUCAAGUGGUCAUCAACUUGCCUCUGUACGCCAGCCAACACCCUAUCAAUCGAGAAAUUUGAGAAAGCCAUGGAGCUUUUGAGAACCCUAUGAUGGCAUUCAGGUACAGAGCCUCUCAAGCUUGGUCUAGAAUCUUUAUCAAAGAAGAUUUAGAAGAGGUCGAGAGGAGAUGACAUGUGCAACUAGAACUUCACCGAUGCUUUGCGAUAUGGUUGAACACAGGCAUAUGACUCCUCUUGUGGACUGGUUGCUACAAUUGAAAUACUUGGGCUUCUUAUGCCUUCCCUUUACAUAAGGUCCUGUAUCUGAUGACAACUGACGUAUUUGGGGCAUCAAGCAUGUUAAACCAAGCUGGUCAUCUGACCGAUAAUGGAGUAAUGUUAGUUGUAAGACCGAAACACUAAGACUUGAAGAUAUUUUUUAAUAGAUCACCUUGGUUCUGUGGCACCCAUGUUAUAUAUGUAAUAUUGUGCUAUGUACUACUCCUGUUUACCUAUGUGGAAAUCCAUGAUAUCACACUUGACCUAUGUACAAUGUAUCAGCUACCC
Molecule: non-coding RNA, 1663 nt
Organism: Lolium perenne
Lineage: Eukaryota; Viridiplantae; Streptophyta; Magnoliopsida; Poales; Poaceae
Source: RefSeq, a predicted model, not a curated record